RNAcentral lists this long non-coding RNA (240 nucleotides) under Olea europaea (common olive). Its description in RNAcentral is "long non-coding RNA (OEUR_LNC002163)". The record is from RNAcentral. Lineage: Eukaryota; Viridiplantae; Streptophyta; Magnoliopsida; Lamiales; Oleaceae.
UAUUUCGACUUACUCUGAAAUUUGCAUAUUUUAUAAUCUUCUCAUUUUGCUUGAAUCUAUUGCAUUCUGUGACUCCAUCUACUAUUAUAACAUUUGCACACAAAUUUGAAGUAGAAGUUUGGAAAGUGAGUGAAGACUUUAGUCCCUGGCGCCAAAAGAUGAGGUCUAUGUUGUUACAACAAAGAUGUGUUGCUGCCCUUGAUGGAUCAUGGGAUACUGAAAUUAGUGCCUAUAGGAGAC